ACGGGUGAGUAACGCGUGGGUAACCUGCCCUGUACAGGGGGAUAACAGUCAGAAAUGACUGCUAAUACCGCAUAAGACCACAGCACCGCAUGGUGCAGGGGUAAAAACUCCGGUGGUGCAGGAUGGACCCGCGUCUGAUUAGCUGGUUGGUGAGGUAACGGCUCACCAAGGCGACGAUCAGUAGCCGGCUUGAGAGAGUGAACGGCCACGUUGGGACUGAGACACGGCCCAGACUCCUACGGGAGGCAGCAUG
RNAcentral lists this ribosomal RNA (253 nucleotides) under uncultured bacterium. Its description in RNAcentral is "partial 16S ribosomal RNA". It matches the Rfam family "Bacterial small subunit ribosomal RNA", at positions 102 to 353 of the family's 1533-position model. The record is from RNAcentral.